This 389-nucleotide ribosomal RNA is filed under the name uncultured bacterium. RNAcentral describes it as "bacterial SSU rRNA". It matches the Rfam family "Bacterial small subunit ribosomal RNA", at positions 29 to 408 of the family's 1533-position model. The record is from RNAcentral.
AAUGAACGCUGGCGGCGCGCCUAAUACAUGCAAGUCGAGCGAGAAGACGUAGCAAUACGUUUGUAAAGCGGCGAACGGGUGAGGAAUACAUGGGUAACCUACCCUCGAGUGGGGAAUAACUAGCCGAAAGGUUAGCUAAUACCGCGUACGCUCCUUGGACUUCGGUUCAGGGAGGAAAGCGAUACCGUGGGUAUCGCGCUCUUGGUUGGGCUCAUGUCCUAUCAGCUUGUUGGUGAGGAACGGCUCACCAAGGCUUCGACGGGUAGCUGGUCUGAGAGGACGAUCAGCCACACUGGCACUGCGACACGGGCCAGGACUCCUACGGGAGGCAGCAGUAAGGAAUAUUGCGCAAUGGGCGAAAGCCUGACGCAGCGACGCCGCGUGGGGGA